Molecule: small nuclear RNA, 108 nt
Organism: Cricetulus griseus (Chinese hamster)
Lineage: Eukaryota; Metazoa; Chordata; Mammalia; Rodentia; Cricetidae
Source: Ensembl
GUGCUCACUUUGGCAGCACAUAUAUUAAAAUUGGAACAAUGCAGAAAAGAUCAUUAUGGCCCCUCUGAAAAGGAUGGUAUGAAAAUUUGUGAGUUGUUCCAUAUUUUA